Molecule: transfer RNA, 73 nt
Filed under: Cotesia glomerata
Lineage: Eukaryota; Metazoa; Arthropoda; Insecta; Hymenoptera; Braconidae
Description: tRNA-Thr
Rfam family: tRNA
About the family: Transfer RNA (tRNA) molecules are approximately 80 nucleotides in length. Their secondary structure includes four short double-helical elements and three loops (D, anti-codon, and T loops).
Source: RNAcentral
GUCUCGGAUAGCUUAACUGGAAGAGCCCUUGGCGCGUAACCGAGAGAUCUGGGUUCGAUUUCCAGUCUGGGCU